This 116-nucleotide transfer RNA is filed under the name Vibrio phage 2.275.O._10N.286.54.E11. RNAcentral describes it as "tRNA-OTHER". It matches the Rfam family "tRNA". From Rfam's summary of the family: Transfer RNA (tRNA) molecules are approximately 80 nucleotides in length. Lineage: Duplodnaviria; Heunggongvirae; Uroviricota; Caudoviricetes. The record is from RNAcentral.
GGGCUCAUGGCGAAGCGGGAUCGCGAUUUAGUUUAGUACCUAGAUCUAGGAGUACGCAUCCGCAACACUCUUAACCGGCAUGAUCGGUGACGUUGGUUCGAAUCCAACUGAGUCCA